This 254-nucleotide ribosomal RNA is filed under the name uncultured bacterium. RNAcentral describes it as "partial 16S ribosomal RNA". It matches the Rfam family "Bacterial small subunit ribosomal RNA", at positions 524 to 776 of the family's 1533-position model. The record is from RNAcentral.
UACGUAGGACGCGAGCGUUGUUCGGAUUUACUGGGCGUAAAGGGUGUGUAGGCGGUUGUUUAAGUUUGGUGUGAAAUCUCCCGGCUCAACUGGGAGGGUGCGCCGAAUACUGAAUGACUUGGAGUGCGGGAGAGGAGAGUGGAAUUCCUGGUGUAGCGGUGAAAUGCGUAGAUAUCAGGAGGAACACCGGUGGUGUAGACGGCUCUCUGGACCGUAACUGACGCUGAGACACGAAAGCGUGGGUAGCAAACAGG